UCACUCCCCCCGUCCCAGACAGCCGGCCCAUCCUCCCAGCAGGCACUGGGCCUUCUGGUGUGUUCCUUCUGUGAGCCCAGCCCAGCCACCAGAAACGUGGUAACUGGGGUGGAAUAAAUGGACCCUAAGGUCAGAGGUGUUAACCCGACUGUCCAGCAUUGAACAGGGGGUGGAGUUUGGCAUUCAGAGAUCUCAGCCUGCCAGGGGCCACGGCAAACACCCUGUUCCUCAGCCUUUUAAUCUUCUGUUCUAGGUGCGGAAAAGAACGCAGAACUGUUACAGCCUUUGAGACAUGAAGUAUUACAGCAGCUUUUGUUUUAACAACAACCCUGGUUCCCUUUGACUUUGGCCAUGAGGAGUCUUUAGAAAAUAAAAACCCACCUUGACAUGACCAUCUUCACCAGAUGAGGGCGCUCCCGCAGAGACGUCAUGGACCAGGCCACCCAACUACCCCAGAAAACCUGCUGCAAUAUGGAAAUAAAAGCCCUGGAACCGCACACCCCCAAUUGUCACCCAGCAUGGGAUAUCAUCAAACUACAGCCCAUACUCGAUGGGGAGCCCAUCCUGAAAAAUCUUCCCUGAGCCCCCUUUUUGGCCUUCGAACAACACCCCGAAUCCCCUCUCCAAGCUCUCCAGAGGUGAAACCAGAAAUCAGUGGGCCCUUGAAUGAACCCGCCCAGGAAAGUGAUAAAAGACAAAACCACCACAUCACCCACAGGUGAACAAUUGUCACAGAACGAUCGCUCCAUAUCUGACCCUUGCAGGCCUUGUCCUGAAAGGAAACCUGCACAAAAGUUUCAAAAUCUGAGCCUGGGAGCUUAAAUUCAUAACGCUGUCGGACACCGAGAUCAUGGACUCAGUAGAGACACUGGAUUUAUGGCUCAUUACAACAAUCUGAAACCCACUUUUGUCCUCGGACUGCAGAAGCGUUACCUGCCCACCUCACUUUGAAUGGUCACUUGCAAUGUGUGCUAACUCCUUGUGCUAAGCGAUCCACACUGCCCUCGGCGCACCUUUCCCAGCCCUGAGGAAGAGCUCUGUGGAGCUUGAAAGCUUGUCUCUCUCACCAGCAGAAGUUGGUCCAAUAACGGAUAUUACUUCCCCCACCUUGUGGGCUGGUCUACACUGGAAAUGUACAUCGGCGUAGUUACGUCUCUCAGGGUUGUGAAAAACCCACACCUUGGAGUAAUGCAGUUAUCCCCCAGUGCAAGCGGUGCUAGGUCCAUGGAAGAAUUCCAUCUCGGGGAGGUGAAUUAUGCGCCGAUGCAGCGUUUUAGAUGUAAACAUACCCUCUGUCUUUACAUGGCAACACAACUGUUCGUUUUGGGGCAAAGGGAAACAGUCAAAAUAAGUUGGAGCUGCAGUUGCUGUUGUUGUUAAAGUCCAAUCCCAUUUCCUCCAAGACAAGACAAACAAAAGGAGAGACAAGAACAGCAAAGCCAGACGACACAGCUUCUGGUUGUUAGUUCUCACUUGCAACCUCCCUGCUGGAGAAACCUGGGUCCAGCCCCCAGUGUGACCAGCCCCACUGAAAUCUGGCAAACUCGUGCCAGUAUUGAGCUGUGCAGGACAGUGCUUUUAGCUGCCUUUCUGGUCACAGGCUCACGUCUGGGUUGCAAGUUAUACACUCUUGGCCGACUAAGCCAAAAGGGAGAGAGACGAGAUGGUGAAGAAAUAAGGUGGGAAAGGAAAAGGACGUGGUGCGGAGGAAGGUGACAAAGGUGAGAUUGUAUGAAGUGUGGGGCAAUGUGGCUGGUGUCUGGCCACUCUCCAUGGAUGAAGUGGGGAACCAAUGAAUACAUCUGCACUGCCCAUCCUGAGCGGUGCAAGACGGAAAGAGUCCAUACGAUGCGGGUCCCUAGGAAGCCGUCUCAUGCAGUGUUGUUACGUUCACCUUGCGCAGAAACAAGCCCCCAAGUUACUCCCCUCCAGCACCGCUUUGCACCUGCCAGGUCAUCCAGAUUCAGAUAAUCCAGACACGUAACCACUCGUUCCACCUACUCUUGGGGCUUCCUCUUGGAAAGAGCCCAUGAUGCAGUAGAACCCCCGAGUCACAAACUGAGCAGUCAAGCUGAGCCCUGUUUGGAUCCAGCAGGACACAAUCAAGCCACCCCGAGACCAGGCCCAAACACUGCACAGAACAGUGCUGUGUUAAGCGUAAACUAGUAAAAAACAGCAGGGGAAGCUGCAUUUCCUCUGCACAGGAAAGUGUCAAAGCUGCGUUAAGUCAAUGUUCAGCUGGAAACUUCGGAAAGAACCAGACCGUUUUGUUCAGGGUUAUGAGCAGCCUCCACCCCCGAGGUGUUUGUAACUCCGAGGACCCACGGGCGAGUUUUGCCCAGCCCUUGAGGAUUGCGCACCUUGCUGAGGAGACGCCUUUGGAGUAACGAAUGAAGACGGCCACAGGAAUGAUACCUUUGUUGGACGCCAUAACCAACUUCCGCCAGACGUCAGCGCGAGAGAUUUGGAAGCACAGGAAUCCGCAUGAACUCACCACGCUUAAUAUCAAGCUAACAGUUAGAACGGGCGCAGCUGUGGGGCUCUGUAAUGUUUCUAUAGGUGCAGCCUCAGUUGGGUAUAACCGGGGCCUUCUUGAACUUUGCAAAGCAACGUGCUUUGGUAAUACCAUGGUAUGCUGCAAAAUAGCAAUGCUAACCAAACAUCUCAGCAGGUCGCUACCUUUGCCUCCCAAGCACAUGCAAAUUAGCACCAAAAAGCCUGGGCUUGCGCCAACCAUGAUCAGCCCCUCACUACUGCUAAGGGCUGACCCUGUGCAGCAUCAGGUGGCAGGGAGUUCCACAGGCCCACACCCUCUACACACUGUAAGCAACCAGCCUGCCCUAAAGAAUUGCCCCAGUUCAAUCCCUUCACAGACCAAAUUGGUCUGUGUGGCUGCCGACCAGAGCGUGAAGCAUGGCUAGGAGGGGACUGUGCCCCUCCUCGCCCCCUUUGUGCCUGUGAUGAGUCAACUCACUGCUACAGCCUCUCCUCGUGGCCGGGUGUGGCACCGCAGCUCCACCCCGUCCAACAGGCUCCCCGGCGAGCCUUGAUUUACGUCCACCCUUCCACGGUCAGCUCUGGGCCCCUUGCAGCCCUUGCCUCAGGGUGUCCUUAUCCCCUUAUAUGGGGGGGCUCAACCCUCCUGCCCCGGUCCCAGCCCAGGGCUGAUCGGUACCAUCCCCACUGCUGUGGCCCCAGGGCACAGCCACGUGCCUCCGCCCAACCCUCCCUCCUGGGGCUGGCAGGACGGACCCUGAGCUCCGUCCAGGGGGGUGUCUGGUUGGCUCCGGGCAGCAGG
Molecule: long non-coding RNA, 3298 nt
Organism: Mauremys reevesii (Reeves's turtle)
Lineage: Eukaryota; Metazoa; Chordata; Testudines; Geoemydidae
Exons: 4
Source: RefSeq, a predicted model, not a curated record